RNAcentral lists this ribosomal RNA (373 nucleotides) under uncultured organism. RNAcentral describes it as "partial 16S ribosomal RNA". It matches the Rfam family "Bacterial small subunit ribosomal RNA", at positions 527 to 896 of the family's 1533-position model. The record is from RNAcentral.
GUAGGUGGCAAGCGUUGUCCGGAACUAUUGGGCGUAAAGCGCGCGCAGGGCGGUCCUUUAAGUCUGAUGUGAAAGCCCACGGCUCAACCGUGGAGGGUCAUUGGAAACUGGGGGACUUGAGUACAGAAGAGGAAAGCGGAAUUCCAAGUGUAGCGGUGAAAUGCGUAGAGAUUUGGAGGAACACCAGUGGCGAAGGCGGCUUUCUGGUCUGUAACUGACGCUGAGGCGCGAAAGCGUGGGGAGCAAACAGGAUUAGAUACCCUGGUAGUCCACGCCGUAAACGAUGAGUGCUAAGUGUUAGGGGGUUUCCGCCCCUUAGUGCUGCAGCUAACGCAUUAAGCACUCCGCCUGGGGAGUACGGCCGCAAAGGCUG